This 107-nucleotide microRNA precursor is filed under the name Canis lupus familiaris (dog). RNAcentral describes it as "mir-8834 microRNA precursor family". It matches the Rfam family "mir-8834 microRNA precursor family". The record is from Rfam by way of RNAcentral. RNAcentral also lists the same sequence under 1 other name. Lineage: Eukaryota; Metazoa; Chordata; Mammalia; Carnivora; Canidae.
AGGAGGAACAACCACAAUGGUGGCGGCCAGCUCUGGAUUCCUGGAUUCAGCUCAGGCAGUAACUACCUAGCUCUCAGUCUGCAGGGGCCUGGAUGCUCCCAGGACGG